CAGGGAGACACAACUGAUUAUGAUGCUUGAAUAAUUAUUUUUAAGCCAUGAUCCUGUCACCUUAGGUCGAUCGGUACCUCUAUUUAAUACUAAAAACAAGAAAUUAUUUUUUAGAUAAAUUCAGUUCCUAAACUUUGUCUAGGUCACACCCAACAAGGGUACUCCUGGGCCAUUAGCUCAGGUGGUUAGAGCGCACCCCUGAUAAGGGUGAGGUCCCUGGUUCAAGUCCAGGAUGGCCCAUUCGGUGUUGGGGGUAUAGCUCAGUUGGUAGAGCGCCUGCUUUGCAAGCAGGAUGUCAGCGGUUCGAGUCCGCUUACCUCCACUGAUCGACCUCCUAAUAGUGAAGACUAAGGGGAGUUUUGUUGUAUGUGAUCUAGAAUUAGUUCCUAAUGAAUGAACCUAGCUUCUUAUCAUUUUUGUUAAAAGAUUAGCUUGAUUGAUAGGACGCUGGGCUCCCUGCAAUAUCAAUUGCAGAGAUGUUCAGUAGAACCUUGACAACUGCAUAGGUGAGUCUGGAAAGAAUAAAGCAUCUCAUGGAUGCAUUAUUUUCAGCCUAAUUUGAGAUUUAAUGACUUGUUCAAAUCUCUUAAAUUUUGGUUGUAUUAUAAUGUUCAAUUCGUAAGCAAGAGCCGAGACUCUAUGACGCUCUUUCAUUGCUUUAAUUGCAAUGAGAGUUUGAUUUUUAAUUCUUUUGACUUUAUCGGAAUUUAGAAUAUUUUUUUCUAAUCACUAAUGAAGAAUAGAAUUAAAAAGAAUAGUGUUGACAACACAUUGCGUUGUAGAGAUUUGUAU
RNAcentral lists this transfer RNA (792 nucleotides) under uncultured cyanobacterium. RNAcentral describes it as "partial miscellaneous RNA". The stretch from base 250 to 322 matches the Rfam family "tRNA". The record is from RNAcentral. Lineage: Bacteria; Bacillati; Cyanobacteriota.